This 440-nucleotide ribosomal RNA is filed under the name uncultured bacterium. Its description in RNAcentral is "partial 16S ribosomal RNA". It matches the Rfam family "Bacterial small subunit ribosomal RNA", at positions 338 to 795 of the family's 1533-position model. The record is from RNAcentral.
CCUACGGGUGGCAGCAGUAGGGAAUUUUGCACAAUGGGCGAAAGCCUGACGCAGCAACGCCGCGUGAUCGAAACGCCCCUCCUGGUUUAAAAAUCUUUCAAUCGGGGCGGAACUUGACGGUACCCACAGAAGCAUCCCCGGCUAACUCCGUUCCCGCCGCCGCGGUCAGACGGGGGGUCCAAGCGUUUUCCGGAAUCAGUGGGCGGAACGGUUUCGGAGGCGGCAGGUAAAGUCUGGGGUUAAAGGCAGCGGCUCAACCUUGGUACGGCACUGGAUACUUGCGCGCUAGAAUGCGGUAGAGGGAGAGGGAAUGCCUGGUGUAGCGGUGAAAUGCGUAGAGAUCAGGAGGAACAUCGGUGGCGUAAGCGCUGUACUGGGCCGUAAUUGACGCUGAGGAACGAAAGCGAGGGGAGCAAAUGGGAUUAGAUACCCUGGUAGUC